Molecule: ribosomal RNA, 465 nt
Filed under: uncultured bacterium
Lineage: Bacteria
Description: partial 16S ribosomal RNA
Rfam family: Bacterial small subunit ribosomal RNA
Source: RNAcentral
GACGAACGCUGGCGGCGUGCUUAACACAUGCAAGUCGAACGGAAAGGCCCUGCUGGGAGGGUACUAGAGUGGAGAAGGGGUGAGUAACACGUGGGUGAUCUGCCUUGCACUUCGGGAUAAGCCGGGGAAACUGGGUAUAAUACCGGAUAGGAGCCAUUUGUAGUGUGAGGGUUGGAAAGUUUUUUCGGUGUAGGAUGAGGUCGCGGCCUAUCAGGUUGUUGGUGGGGUAAUGGGCUACCAAGGGGGCGACGGGUAGCCGGCCUGAGCGGGUGGACGGCCACAUUGACACUGAGAUACAUCCCAGACUCCUACGCGGUGCAGAAGUGGGGAAUAUUGCCCAAUGCCCGCACGCCUGAUGCAGCGACGCCGCUUGCGGGAUGACGGCCUUCGACUUGUAAACGCCUUGCGCUAGGGACCAGGCUUUUUGUGACGGUACCUAGAUAAGAAGCACCGGCUAACUACGUG